Molecule: ribosomal RNA, 460 nt
Filed under: uncultured bacterium
Lineage: Bacteria
Description: partial 16S ribosomal RNA
Rfam family: Bacterial small subunit ribosomal RNA
Source: RNAcentral
CCUACGGGCGGCAGCAGUGAGGAAUAUUGGUCAAUGGACGAGAGUCUGAACCAGCCAAGUAGCGUGAAGGAUGACUGCCCUAUGGGUUGUAAACUUCUUUUAUAUGGGAAUAAAAUGUUCCACGUGUGGGAUUUUGUAUGUACCAUAUGAAUAAGGAUCGGCUAACUCCGUGCCAGCAGCCGCGGUAAUUCGGAGGAUCCGAGCGUUAUCCGGAUUUUUUGGGUUUAAAGGGAGCGUAGGUGGGUUGUUAAGUCAGUUGUGAAAGUUUGCGGCUCAACCGUAGAAUUGCAGUUGAAACUGGCAGUCUUGAGUACAGUAGAGGUGGGCGGAAUUCGUGGUGUAGCGGUGAAAUGCUUAGAUAUCACGAAGAACUCCGAUUGCGAAGGCAGCUCACUGGACUGCAACUGACGCUGAGGCACGAAAGUGUGGGUAUCAAACAGGAUUAGAUACCCUUGUAGUC